GAUGAAGAACGUAGCGAAAUGCGAUAAGUAAUGCGAAUUGCAGAAUUCCAGUGAGUCAUCGAAUCUUUGAACGCACAUUGCGCCCUUUGGUAUUCCGAAGGGCAUGCCUGUUCGAGCGUCAUUAUCACCCCUCAAGCCCUCGGCUUGGUGUUGGACGGUUUGGUGGAGGCCCCCUCGGGGGUUCCUGCCCCUCCCAAAGACAAUGACGGCGGCCUCGUUGGACCCCCGGUACACUGAGUUCUUCACGGGACACGUAUCGGACACAUGGGUUUACGGGACACGGUCUGCCUCCCCUCAGGGAGAAUCUUUCUAAGGUUGACCUCGGAUCAGGUAGGGAUACCCGCUGAACUUAAGCAUAUCAAUAAGGGAGGA
This 372-nucleotide unclassified non-coding RNA is filed under the name soil metagenome. Its description in RNAcentral is "partial contains 5.8S ribosomal RNA, internal transcribed spacer 2, and large subunit ribosomal RNA". The stretch from base 1 to 121 matches the Rfam family "5.8S ribosomal RNA", at positions 35 to 154 of the family's 154-position model. The record is from RNAcentral.